RNAcentral lists this ribosomal RNA (730 nucleotides) under Lactococcus lactis. RNAcentral describes it as "bacterial SSU rRNA". It matches the Rfam family "Bacterial small subunit ribosomal RNA", at positions 62 to 775 of the family's 1533-position model. The record is from RNAcentral. Lineage: Bacteria; Bacillati; Bacillota; Bacilli; Lactobacillales; Streptococcaceae.
UUGAGCGCUGAAGGUUGGUACUUGUACCGACUGGAUGAGCAGCGAACGGGUGAGUAACGCGUGGGGAAUCUGCCUUUGAGCGGGGGACAACAUUUGGAAACGAAUGCUAAUACCGCAUAACAACUUUAAACAUAAGUUUUAAGUUUGAAAGAUGCAAUUGCAUCACUCAAAGAUGAUCCCGCGUUGUAUUAGCUAGUUGGUGAGGUAAAGGCUCACCAAGGCGAUGAUACAUAGCCGACCUGAGAGGGUGAUCGGCCACAUUGGGACUGAGACACGGCCCAAACUCCUACGGGAGGCAGCAGUAGGGAAUCUUCGGCAAUGGACGAAAGUCUGACCGAGCAACGCCGCGUGAGUGAAGAAGGUUUUCGGAUCGUAAAACUCUGUUGGUAGAGAAGAACGUUGGUGAGAGUGGAAAGCUCAUCAAGUGACGGUAACUACCCAGAAAGGGACGGCUAACUACGUGCCAGCAGCCGCGGUAAUACGUAGGUCCCGAGCGUUGUCCGGAUUUAUUGGGCGUAAAGCGAGCGCAGGUGGUUUAUUAAGUCUGGUGUAAAAGGCAGUGGCUCAACCAUUGUAUGCAUUGGAAACUGGUAGACUUGAGUGCAGGAGAGGAGAGUGGAAUUCCAUGUGUAGCGGUGAAAUGCGUAGAUAUAUGGAGGAACACCGGUGGCGAAAGCGGCUCUCUGGCCUGUAACUGACACUGAGGCUCGAAAGCGUGGGGAGCAAACAG